Molecule: ribosomal RNA, 566 nt
Filed under: uncultured bacterium
Lineage: Bacteria
Description: partial 16S ribosomal RNA
Rfam family: Bacterial small subunit ribosomal RNA
Source: RNAcentral
UGGGGAAUUUUGGACAAUGGGCGCAAGCCUGAUCCAGCCAUGCCGCGUGCGGGAAGAAGGCCUUCGGGUUGUAAACCGCUUUUGUCAGGGAAGAAAUCUUCUGAGUUAAUACCUCGGGAGGAUGACGGUACCUGAAGAAUAAGCACCGGCUAACUACGUGCCAGCAGCCGCGGUAAUACGUAGGGUGCAAGCGUUAAUCGGAAUUACUGGGCGUAAAGCGUGCGCAGGCGGUUUUGUAAGACAGAGGUGAAAUCCCCGGGCUCAACCUGGGAACUGCCUUUGUGACUGCAAGGCUUGAGUGCGGCAGAGGGGGAUGGAAUUCCGCGUGUAGCAGUGAAAUGCGUAGAUAUGCGGAGGAACACCGAUGGCGAAGGCAAUCCCCUGGGCCUGCACUGACGCUCAUGCACGAAAGCGUGGGGAGCAAACAGGAUUAGAUACCCUGGUAGUCCACGCCCUAAACGAUGUCAACUGGUUGUUGGGAAGGUUCCUUCUCAGUAACGUAGCUAACGCGUGAAGUUGACCGCCUGGGGAGUACGGCCGCAAGGUUGAAACUCAAAUGAAUUGAC